Molecule: transfer RNA, 72 nt
Filed under: Capra hircus (goat)
Lineage: Eukaryota; Metazoa; Chordata; Mammalia; Artiodactyla; Bovidae
Also listed under: 1 other name
Rfam family: tRNA
About the family: Transfer RNA (tRNA) molecules are approximately 80 nucleotides in length. Their secondary structure includes four short double-helical elements and three loops (D, anti-codon, and T loops). Further hydrogen bonds mediate the characteristic L-shaped molecular structure. tRNAs have two regions of fundamental functional importance: the anti-codon, which is responsible for specific mRNA codon recognition, and the 3' end, to which the tRNAs corresponding amino acid is attached (by aminoacyl-tRNA synthetases). tRNAs cope with the degeneracy of the genetic code in two manners: having more than one tRNA (with a specific anti-codon) for a particular amino acid; and 'wobble' base-pairing, i.e. permitting non-standard base-pairing at the 3rd anti-codon position.
Source: Rfam by way of RNAcentral
UCCCUGGUGGCUCAGCGGGUAAAGCACCUGCCCACAAUGUGGGAGACCCAGGUUCAAUUCCUGGGCUGGGAA